CAUACAGAAAGGAGCAGGAGAAUCACUAUAAAUCACUAUAGUCACUAUAGUGUGAUAUUUUUUUACUAAGCAUUCAUGCACAUAUUUUUGAAAACUGAGAAAAGAAAAAGAAACCAUCACAUCUACAAAAUGUUAUUCAUGUUUAUUCACUUUCUUAUUGUAGGUUAAUUAACCUUCUUGAAAGUAAACAGAAGAAAAAAAAGAAGAAAACUUGAGCGAUUAAAAGCUAUUUAUGCAUAAAAUAUUAAAGUUAUAAGUGAUAUCCCCUUCACUAAGGAUUUUAGCUGCUAUUUUCUCCUAUUUUUUUAGCUUUAUUCUGCUUUUCUAAAUAAUGGGAUAUGUUUUACAAACUAUGAAUUUGUGUGAAAUCUUGUUUGACUGGCUGAGUGGGUUACCUGUUCACAUCGCAGUUCUGCUGUUUUCUCAGCUGUAGCCUCUCUGGGUCUCCAUGCAGCAGGUCACUAAAUAUUUCAUUUCCCAAGCAAAACACGCUUCCCCAGCGAAGGAAAGUAGUGCAAAACAGAUCAGUGAUGAAUGUGCAAUCAGGCUGAUUAACUCAUUAUUAGUUGUCCGAAAGAUUCACGGACGGAAAUGAGGACAAGAGCAAAAGAGGUUGUUUAUAUGUGCAGGCAGAGUUAAAUGUGAUGUGAGGACGGGGCCUCUGUGAACUCUUACCUCUGCGUUGAUGAUUUGAAGUUGAAAUAUGGAGUUCAUUUUCUUUUUUUUUCAAAUUAAACCCAAGUAGAUGAAUAAAUAUAGACUAAAUAUGAGUGUUGGUCUGGAUCUUCACUCGUGUUCUCCACUCAACUGUCAGCAGAUGGUGCUGGAGUGUCUUCACAGCCAAACUCCAGUGAGCCAGACACCAUAUGCUCUCCGGCCUCCCACCACACUUUUAAAAAGGGGAAAAAAACGAGCCUAACUUAGUUCCUGAGUUGAGGCUAAUGUUUGUUGAAAUAAGUAGAGAUUUCCUGUUUUUCUUUUUUUCCUUUUUUUCCAGAAAAAAGAAAAAAAGUUUCUUUUUUUCAGGAUGAGCUCAGGCUGUUGUACAGCUGCCUUCAGUUGCUCUUUUUCCCCCCUUCUUUCAGUGAGACCAGACAAUGUUUUGUAUUGCAGCAGUUGCAGGAACAAACCUGUGAGUUCUUCUUGCUCUGAUUGUUGAGCCAAACAUCCCAGCUAGUGCGGAUUGUGGGAGGCACAACGGACGUAGCUGGUGGCCGGGCGUGAGCGUGCGCCGGGAGAAGGGGAUUCCAGCACCAAACCCAAUUAAUGCAGGCUAGAUAACUAGGCGUGCUGAGGGAGUGGGAGGAUAUCAGGAAGAGGAGAGGAGGGAUCUGGUCAAGGAUGCUGCUGCAGCCCACAGUCAGAGAUGUGGCCCAGAAGUGUGGAGCGAGAAGUGGAACCAUCCUCCCAAAUCGACUGAUAUGGCCCAGAAGAAGGACGGAGUUGAUUGCAGCCGACAAGUUCACAACAAUCUGGCAUUUCCUGUGGAAGCGGCGGUGUGCAAAAUGGGAAACACCUUUAUUUCUGUAGUUAUUUGUUUAUUGUUAAAGAAAAUAAUUAGAAAUUCAAUAAUUAAUAUAUACAGUAUAUAUAUAAUUUUGUCAAUUGGUAAGUAAAUAACCUAUAAAAUAGAUGCAUAAUAAGUGUUAAAAAGUGUUCAUCAACAUUAACAAUAUAUUGAAUGUGAUGAUACAUGUAUUAUUUUAAAAAACUUACUAAAACAAUGCCUUAUCUGGAAAUUACUCCUCUAUUUUGCCUCAAUUCAUACGUUUGAGUUCUGAUUAGGGGCGGAGCUAAAACACUUUGUAUGGGGGGGUAGAAUACAUUGGAAAUGUGGCCAAUAAGAACAGUGUAUUGGAAUGAAUGAAAGGAUGAAAACAGGUAUUUCUAACAGUUUCAUUAUUUUUAUUAAUAUUAAAACAUCAGUUUUGGCAGUUGAGACAUUGUUAUAUUGUUAUUUUUGCAUGGCUUAAAAAAAAGCUUUUUAUUAGUGAUUUUGUCAUUUUUCUCAAUAAUCAUAAAAAAUAUUAACUCAAAAAUUAGGUUGCCAGCUGCCCCUCAUUGUUACCCCGUAGCCCCGCCCUGGUUUUGACACACUUUUGGAUCCCUGCGGACUUUGGGACGUCACCUGUCCCAAAGUGGGACUCGUAUUGAUAAAAAACAAAACAAAAAAA
Oryzias melastigma (Indian medaka) is the source of this 2174-nucleotide long non-coding RNA. RefSeq lists it as uncharacterized. The record is from RefSeq and is a predicted model, not a curated record. NCBI's taxonomy places the organism in Eukaryota, Metazoa, Chordata, Actinopteri, Beloniformes, Adrianichthyidae. The transcript has 3 exons.